GCACUUAUGGGGCACCUGAAGGCACUUAUGGGGCACUUGAAGGCACUUAUGGGGCACUUGAAGGCACUUAUGGGGCUCACACAUCACUUAUGGGGCACCUGAAGGCACUUAUGGGGCAGGCCGUACUUAUGGGUCGCACUCACCCCUCCUCAUCCGACUCCCUCCCAUCCUCUUCAUCACUGAACUUCAGCUUCUCGCUGUAAUCCACCUCCUCGUGGGCUCCUGUGGGGCACAGCCGGCUGCUAUGGGGCAGCUAUGGGGCAGCUAUGGGGCAGCUAUGGGGCAGGGCUAUGGGGCAGCUAUGGGGCAGCUAUGGGGCAGGGCUAUGGGGCAGCUAUGGGGUCGCUAUGAGACAGUUAUGGGGCAGGGCUAUGGGGCUGCUAUGGGGCAGUUAUGGGGCUGCUAUGGGGCAGCUAUGGGGCAGGACUAUGGGGCAGUUAUGGGGCAGCUAUGGGGCAGGGCUAUGGGGCAGCUAUGGGGUCGCUAUGGGGCAGUUAUAGGGCAGCUAUGGGGUGGCUAUGUGUCGCUAUGGGGCAGUUGGUUAUGGGUCGCUAUGGGGCAGCUAUGGGGUGGUUCUGGGGUGGUUCUGGGUCGCUAUGGGUCGCUAUGGGGCAGUAAUGGGGUGGUUAUGGGGCGGUUAUGGGGUGGCUAUGGGUCGCUAUGGGUCGCUAUGGGGCAGCUAUGGGGUGGUUAUGGGGCGGUUAUGGGUCGCUAUUGGGCAGCUAUGGGGUGGUUAUGGGGUGGUUCUGUGUUGCUAUGGGUCGCUAUGGGGCAGUAAUGGGGUGGUUCCGGGUUGCUAUGGGUCGCUAUGGGGCAGUAAUGGGGUGGUUAUGGGGCGGUUACGGGGCAGUUAUGGGUCGCUAUGGGUCGUUAUGGGGCGGCUAUGGGUCGCUAUGGGGCAGUGAUGAGUUACUAUAAGUUGCUAUAGCUCACUAUGGGUCUCUGGGGUGGCUAUGGGUCGCUAUGGGGCAGUAAUGGGGUGGCUAUGGGUCGCUAUGGGGCAGUAAUGGGGUGGUUAUGGGGUGGCUAUGGGUCGCUAUGGGGCAGUUAUGGGUCGCUAUGGGGCAGUGAUGAGUUACUACAAGUUGCUAUAGCUCACUAUGGGUCUCUAUGGGGCGGCUAUGGGUCGCUAUGGGUUGCUAUGGGUCGCUAUGGGUCGCUAUGGGGCGGCUAUGGGUCGCUAUGGGUCGCUAUGGGUCGCUAUGGGUCGCUAUGGGGCGGCUAUGGGUCGCUAUGGGGCAGCUAUGGGGUGGUUCUGGGUCGCUAUGGGUCGCAAUGUGUCGCUAUGGGGCAGUUAUGGGGUGGCUAUGGGUCGCUAUGGGUCGCUAUGGGGCAGCCAUGGGUCGCUAUGGGGCGGUUAUGGGGUGGCUAUGGGUCGCAAUGUGUCGCUAUGGGGCGGUUAUGGGGUGGCUAUGGGUCGCUAUGGGUCGCUAUGGGGCGCUAUGGGUCGCUAUGGGUCGCUAUGGGGCGGUUAUGGGGUGGUUCUGGGUCGCAAUGUGUCGCUAUGGGGCAGUUAUGGGUCGCUAUGGGUCGCUAUGGGGUGGUUCUGGGUCGCUAUGGGUCGCUAUGGGGCGGCUAUGGGUCGCUAUGGGGCAGCUAUGGGGCGGCUAUGGGUCGCUGUGGGUCGCUAUGGGGCAGUAAUGGGGUGGUUAUGGGGCGGUUAUGGGGUGGCUAUGGGUCGCUAUGGGGCGGCUAUGGGUCGGCUAUGGGUCGCUGUGGGAUCGCUAUGGCGCAGCCGCCCACACUGCCCAUCACCGUCCGUCAUUGUCGGUGGUCCAGCUCAUCGAACUCCUUGAGCUCGUCGUGUUUCAGCACCGGGGGGCGCCCACCAACUCCCCCCCCCGCAAUGGGGGGCCACGAGGACGCUGCAGCCUGGGGGGGAACAAGGGGGUCAGCACGGCCGCGCCCCAUAGAAUCUGACCCAUAGAUCUGACGCAUAGCAUCUGCCGCCUAGAUCUGUCCCCCCCCCCCCCCCCCCCCCACCAUAGCUCUGGGCCGCCAUACCAGCUCUGGCCCCACUACCUUCACCCACCAUAGCUCUGCCAUUAUGCCUUGCCCUCACCAAGCCUUCCUAUAGCC
Long non-coding RNA from Coturnix japonica (Japanese quail), 2079 nucleotides. Lineage: Eukaryota; Metazoa; Chordata; Aves; Galliformes; Phasianidae. The record is from Ensembl.